GGAAAAAUAGUAUAAAUAAUACAUACUAUUAAGGCUUUACAGCUAAUAAUAGUAUAUUUGGAUGUAAUUUCCAAUUUUUCCA
RNAcentral lists this transfer RNA (82 nucleotides) under Fusarium annulatum. RNAcentral describes it as "tRNA-Leu". The record is from RNAcentral. RNAcentral also lists the same sequence under 1 other name. Lineage: Eukaryota; Fungi; Ascomycota; Sordariomycetes; Hypocreales; Nectriaceae.